GAUGAACGCUGGCGGCGUGCCUAAUACAUGCAAGUCGAGCGAACAGAUGAGGAGCUUGCUCCUCUGACGUUAGUGGCGGACGGGUGAGUAACACGUGGAUAACCUACCUAUAAGACUGGGAUAACUUCGGGAAACCGGAGCUAAUACCGGAUAAUAUAUUGAACCGCAUGGUUCAAUAGUGAAAGACGGUUUUGCUGUCACUUAUAGAUGGAUCCGCGCCGCAUUAGCUAGUUGGUAAGGUAACGGCUUACCAAGGCGACGAUGCGUAGCCGACCUGAGAGGGUGAUCGGCCACACUGGAACUGAGACACGGUCCAGACUCCUACGGGAGGCAGCAGUAGGGAAUCUUCCGCAAUGGGCGAAAGCCUGACGGAGCAACGCCGCGUGAGUGAUGAAGGUCUUCGGAUCGUAAAACUCUGUUAUUAGGGAAGAACAAAUGUGUAAGUAACUAUGCACGUCUUGACGGUACCUAAUCAGAAAGCCACGGCUAACUACGUG
RNAcentral lists this ribosomal RNA (497 nucleotides) under uncultured bacterium. Its description in RNAcentral is "partial 16S ribosomal RNA". It matches the Rfam family "Bacterial small subunit ribosomal RNA", at positions 28 to 507 of the family's 1533-position model. The record is from RNAcentral.